AGCAGCCGCAGUAAUUUCAGCUCCAAUAGCGUAUAUUAAAGUUGUUGCAGUUAAAAGCUCGUAGUUGAAUUUCGGGGUCAGUAGGUUGGUCAUGCCACUGGUAUGUACUGAUCUUACUGAUUCCUCCUUCCUGAUGAAUCGUAAUGCCAUUAAUUUGGUGUUGCGGGGAGACUGGACUGUUACUUUGAAAAAAUUAGAGUGUUAAAGCAGGCUAACGCUUGAAUACAUUAGCAUGGAAUAAUGAAAUAGGACGUUCGAUCCUAUUUUGUUGGUUUCUAGGAUAGACGUAAUGAUUAAUAGGGAUAGUUGGGGGCAUUAGUAUUCAAUUGUCAGAGGUGAAAUUCUUGGAUUUUAUUGAAGACUAACUACUGCGAAAAGCAUUUGCCAAGGAUGUUUUCAUUAAUCAAGAACGAAAGUUAGGGGGAUCGAAGACGAUCAGAUACCGUCGUAGUCUUAACCAUAAAACUAUGCCGACUA
This 477-nucleotide ribosomal RNA is filed under the name uncultured Glomus. RNAcentral describes it as "SSU rRNA". It matches the Rfam family "Eukaryotic small subunit ribosomal RNA", at positions 569 to 1048 of the family's 1831-position model. Lineage: Eukaryota; Fungi; Glomeromycota; Glomeromycetes; Glomerales; Glomeraceae. The record is from RNAcentral.